AUGUUGAUUGGCUACUUGGAGCUUUGGAGUCUGUCCAGAUUUCUGUUGAUACCAGGCCAUACACUGUUCACCACCACAAGUUCCAACAGCUUGGCUGGUCUUACAGGUCAGAGUGACAGUGGAUCCUGGAGUAGAUUGCAGGAGGUUUUUGUACGGCCACUUAAUGACUUUGUAUCACUGUGGUGGACUUUUGGUGGAGGAACCAAACUCAUCUUGUACUCUGGCCCCAUGGUCAGGCCCUCAGUCUCUCUGCUUCCCCCCUCCUCUGAGCAGCUCUCUGGGGCCUCGGCCACGCUGGCCUGCCUGCUGAGCGGCUACGCUCCUCAGGGAGCCGUGGUGAGCUGGGAGGUGGACGGUACAGAGGUGACAGAGGGGGUCCUGAGCAGCUCAGAGGAGGAGAAGAGCGGACGCUACAGCAGCAGCAGCACCCUGAGCUUGAGCCAGGAGCGCUGGAUGAAAGGAGAGCUGUACUCCUGCAGGGUCCUCCAUCAUGACCACAGCCAGAUCCAGUCCCUCCGCAGGAGCAAGUGUUAGGUGUAGAGGGGCUGGCUGAAGACCAGGACAGGAGCUGUGUGUGGGGGGAGC
Molecule: non-coding RNA, 585 nt
Organism: Scomber japonicus (chub mackerel)
Lineage: Eukaryota; Metazoa; Chordata; Actinopteri; Scombriformes; Scombridae
Source: the annotation of a RefSeq genome assembly